This 254-nucleotide ribosomal RNA is filed under the name uncultured bacterium. Its description in RNAcentral is "partial 16S ribosomal RNA". It matches the Rfam family "Bacterial small subunit ribosomal RNA", at positions 524 to 776 of the family's 1533-position model. The record is from RNAcentral.
UACGUAGGGUGCAAGCGUUUAAUCGGAAUUACUGGGCGUAAAGCGUGCGCAGGCGGUUGUGCAAGACAGAUGUGAAAUCCCCGGGCUCAACCUGGGAACUGCAUCUGUGACUGCAUCGCUGGAGUGCGGCAGAGGGGGAUGGAAUUCCGCGUGUAGCAGUGAAAUGCGUAGAUAUGCGGAGGAACACCGAUGGCGAAGGCAAUCCCCUGGGCCUGCACUGACGCUCAUGCACGAAAGCGUGGGGAGCAAACAGG